RNAcentral lists this ribosomal RNA (646 nucleotides) under Forcipomyia sp. S6CM14. RNAcentral describes it as "eukaryotic LSU rRNA". It matches the Rfam family "Eukaryotic large subunit ribosomal RNA", at positions 75 to 614 of the family's 3401-position model. Lineage: Eukaryota; Metazoa; Arthropoda; Insecta; Diptera; Ceratopogonidae. The record is from RNAcentral.
UUCCCUUAGUAACGGCGAGCGAAACGGGAAUAGCCCAGCACGAAGACCAACAGUUGUCAUGACUGUUUGGUGAUGCCGUGUGCAGGAGUGCCUAUUAUCUUGCAUCAAAAUAGUGUGUCCAAGUCCAUCUUGAAUGAGGCCAUGUACCCAUAGAGGGUGCUAGGCCCGUAGUGACUGCUAUUGGUGUAAGAAGGUAUCUCCUUGGAGUCGUGUUGCUUGAUAGUGCAGCACUAAGAGGGAGGUAAACUUCUUCUAAGGCUAAAUAUUACCAUGAGACCGAUAGCGAACAAGUACCGUGAGGGAAAGUUGAAAAGCACUCUGAAUAGAGAGUCAAAAAGUACGUGAAACUGUUUAAGGGAUUAAGCCUGAUGAACCUAAAUUUCUGAAUGGGGAUAUUCAAUAUUACCGCAUCAGUAAUGGUGUGGUGGUGUGCACUUAUCCUCUAGUAAGACGAUGCGAUCCGUUAGAAAAAUUGUGUGUUCUGUACAUAGGCCCGGGUAGGAGUUUAGUCUUUUUGUGAGUACCAUGAAUUUGUUUUUAUGGGAAAGCGUCUAAACUACUUGGUGUUCUUACAGAUAUCUGACGGUUUCAAAAUGCUGCAUUUGGAUGCUACGGCAUCAGCACGCUCGUCGUGCAGUGCAUGCAU